GGGGGUGUAAUGGCUUCGACAGACAUCCUAAUCAUUGAUUUGCAGUGGUUUGAUAAACCUUAAUAUCACUAGGCUUUUUAAGCGCAAACGAAAACAAAAAAGUUGAAACAGCUUACAUGAACAAUGUAAACUCAUUCAACACACAAUACCUAUUUGCUUAAUUUAUAAAAUAGGCAGACCUACAAAUUAGCUCGGUUUGUAAUUCGUCUGAUUGGAGAGCUUGGCAAAAUAAAGUUAGCAUAUAUUUUGCGACAUUUAUGCUAAAGUUAGCAGAGAAGUUUUUUAGUUUACUAUCUUCACUAACUGCUUAUAAAACUGAAUAAACUUGUAGACGAUCAAUGCCUAAGAUGUGUGGACCGGGGUUCAAUUCCCCGCAUCUCCACCA
RNAcentral lists this transfer-messenger RNA (385 nucleotides) under [Mycoplasma] falconis. Its description in RNAcentral is "Metamycoplasma falconis Standard tmRNA". It matches the Rfam family "transfer-messenger RNA". From Rfam's summary of the family: Bacterial tmRNA, also known as 10Sa RNA or SsrA, is named for its dual tRNA and mRNA-like properties. Its role is to liberate the mRNA from a stalled ribosome. To accomplish this part of the tmRNA is used as a reading frame that ends in a translation stop signal. Lineage: Bacteria; Bacillati; Mycoplasmatota; Mycoplasmoidales; Metamycoplasmataceae. The record is from Rfam by way of RNAcentral.